RNAcentral lists this ribosomal RNA (503 nucleotides) under uncultured bacterium. Its description in RNAcentral is "partial 16S ribosomal RNA". It matches the Rfam family "Bacterial small subunit ribosomal RNA", at positions 30 to 523 of the family's 1533-position model. The record is from RNAcentral.
AUUGAACGCUGGCGGCAGGCUUAACACAUGCAAGUCGAGCGGGGUGAUGGUGCUUGCACUAUCACUUAGCGGCGGACGGGUGAGUAAUGCUUAGGAAUCUGCCUAUUAGUGGGGGACAACAUCUCGAAAGGGAUGCUAAUACCGCAUACGUCCUACGGGAGAAAGCAGGGGAUCACUUGUGACCUUGCGCUAAUAGAUGAGCCUAAGUCGGAUUAGCUAGUUGGUGGGGUAAAGGCCUACCAAGGCGACGAUCUGUAGCGGGUCUGAGAGGAUGAUCCGCCACACUGGGACUUAAACACGGCCCAGACUCCUACGGGAGGCAGCAGUGGGGAAUAUUGGACAAUGGGGGGAACCCUGAUCCAGCCAUGCCGCGUGUGUGAAGAAGGCCUUAUGGUUGUAAAGCACUUUAAGCGAGGAGGAGGCUCUUUUGGUUAAUACCCAAGAUGAGUGGACGUUACUCGCAGAAUAAGCACCGGCUAACUCUGUGCCAGCCGCCGCAGUAA